GACGAACGCUGGCGGCGUGCCUAAUACAUGCAAGUCGAACGCACUCUCGUUUAGAUUGAAGGAGCUUGCUCCUGAUUGAUAAACAUUUGAGUGAGUGGCGGACGGGUGAGUAACACGUGGGUAACCUGCCCUAAAGUGGGGGAUAACAUUUGGAAACAGAUGCUAAUACCGCAUAAAACCUAACACCGCAUGGUGUAGGGUUGAAAGAUGGUUUCGGCUAUCACUUUAGGAUGGACCCGCGGUGCAUUAGUUAGUUGGUGAGGUAAAGGCUCACCAAGACCGUGAUGCAUAGCCGACCUGAGAGGGUAAUCGGCCACACUGGGACUGAGACACGGCCCAGACUCCUACGGGAGGCAGCAGUAGGGAAUCUUCCACAAUGGACGAAAGUCUGAUGGAGCAACGCCGCGUGAGUGAAGAAGUUUUCGGAUCGUAAAACUCUGUUGUUGGAGAAGAAUGUAUCUGAUAGUAACUGAUCAGGUAGUGACGGUAUCCAACCAGAAAG
This 502-nucleotide ribosomal RNA is filed under the name uncultured bacterium. RNAcentral's name for it is "bacterial SSU rRNA". It matches the Rfam family "Bacterial small subunit ribosomal RNA", at positions 28 to 490 of the family's 1533-position model. The record is from RNAcentral.